CUACGUGCCAGCAGCCGCGGUAAUACGUAGGGUGCAAGCGUUAAUCGGAAUUACUGGGUGUAAAGCGAGCGCAGACGGUUACUUAAGCAGGAUGUGAAAUCCCCGGGCUCAACCUGGGAACUGCGUUCUGAACUGGGUGACUAGAGUGUGUCAGAGGGAGGUAGAAUUCCACGUGUAGCAGUGAAAUGCGUAGAGAUGUGGAGGAAUACCGAUGGCGAAGGCAGCCUCCUGGGAUAACACUGACGUUCAUGCUCGAAAGCGUGGGUAGCAAACAGGAUUAGAUACCCUGGUAGUCCACGCCCUAAACGAUGUCAAUUAGCUGUUGGGCAACUUGAUUGCUUAGUAGCGUAGCUAACGCGUGAAAUUGACCGCCUGGGGAGUACGGUCGCAAGAUUAAAACUCAAAGGAAUUGACGGGGACCCGCACAAGCGGUGGAUGAUGUGGAUUAAUUCGAUGCAACGCGAAGAACCUUACCUGGUCUUGACAU
This 487-nucleotide ribosomal RNA is filed under the name uncultured bacterium. Its description in RNAcentral is "bacterial SSU rRNA". It matches the Rfam family "Bacterial small subunit ribosomal RNA", at positions 501 to 987 of the family's 1533-position model. The record is from RNAcentral.